AUGUCUUUGAGGUGCAGGGGCUUCUCUUGGGCAAGAGCGGUGCUUCCUCAGUCACUUAUCUGCUCGCCGGGGUCUCAGGCCCUGGGGCAGCUGCCUCAGCCUUGCUCCGAACUUCUCUUAUCUCCAGAAUCUCAUGAGUCACGCUGUCUCCACUUUGGCCAAGAGAACCUUGUCCACACUCGGGCCUCUCGUGUUUGGAAAGCACACAUUUUCUCAGGAAACAUAUGCUCUCUGAGACCUGGUCAAACAUCCACCAAGGACCAUUUUAUGCCAAGCCUUGUGUUACUUCUGGGUCCACAGAAGCAAAUAAGAUAUACUUCCUAUCUGUCCUCAGGCAGCUCCCAGCUUGGGCAGAGGAAGCAGUAAGUAAAUGGAUAAUUAAAACCUAGUGUGUAAGUGCUACGAGAGAGAGAAACGCACGAUGCUCUGGGAAUACAAAGGUUGGGGCAUCUAACCAGACCAGACUAGAGGGUCAAGGAAGACGUUUUGGAAGAGGUGACUUAAAAGUGAGUCUUUUUCUUCCAUUUUUGAAAAAAAAAAAAUCGUGCAGGUGAUAUAUGUGUUAGAAAUACAGAGAAGUGAAAGGAAACAACGGUUGAAAUCCUUCUGCCCAGAUGUAGCCCUUACUUAUACUUUGCUAUAAUGCCUUUUAAAUCUCAUUCUCUCUCUGAGACAUAUGUCUAUUUACACACACAUCAGACAGCCCUAACACACACACAAACAUGACACAAAAAUCCAGUGCAAUUCUGCUGUAAUAGCACUCUGUAAUUUGCUCUUCCUCAUUUAGUAUAUUUUAAAUCAGUAAAUAGAAACCUGUAAACACUCUUCAAUGACCUUCUGGGAAUUGUUCAACAUAUGAUGAUCAUAUUUUAUUCAGUCUUUUACAUUACACAUUUAUUUCCAAUAUUUAAUGACUAUAAACAAUGUUGCAAAGAAGAACUUUUAAGCCCAUCUUGGUGCAUUUUCCCAGUUAUUAUUUUGUGGUUAUCAGAGAAAACUGAUCAAUUUACCUUUCUUUUUUUUUUUUUGUCUUUUGUCUUUUUUGUUGUUAUUAUUGCUAUUUCUUGGGCCGCUCCCGCGGCAUAUGGAGGUUCCCAGGCUAGGGGUUGAAUCGGAGCUGUAGCCACUGGCCUACGCCAGAGCCACAGCAACGCGGGAUCCGAGCCGUGUCUGCAACCUACACCACAGCUCAUGGCAACGCCGGAUCGUUAACCCACUGAGCAAGGCCAGGGAUCGAACCCGCAACCUCAUGGUUCCUAGUCGGAUUCGUUAACCACUGCGCCAUGACGGGAACUCCCCAAUUUACCUUUCAUUCUGUAUCUCUAGAGCUAACAGUGGGUAUUUUUAUUCUUUUUAAAAAAUUUGAGGAGUUCCCGUCGUGGCGCAGUGGUUAACGAAUCCGACUAGGAACCAUGAGGUUGCGGGUUCGAUCCCUGGCCUUGCUCAGUGGGUUAACGAUCCGGCGUUGCCAUGAGCUGUGGUGUAGGUUGCAGACACGGCUCGGAUCCCGCGUUGCUGUGGCUCUGGCGUAGGCCGGUGGCUACAGCUCCGAUUCAACCCCUAGCCUGGGAACCUCCAUAUGCCGCAGAAGAGGCCCAAGAGAUAGCAACAACAACAACAAAAGACAAAAAGACUAAAAAAAAAAAAAAAAAAAAAAAAAUUGAUAGGUGAAAAAUGGCAUCCUAUCUAGUUGUGUUUGCAUUUUAGAUGACUAAUUUUUUCAUAAUUACUGGCCAUGUAUAUUUCUUUUUCUUUUUCUUUUUUUUUUUUUUUAGUCUUUUUGUCUUUUGUUGUUGUUGUUGCUAUCUCUUGGGCCUCUUCUGCGGCAUAUGGAGGUUCCCAGGCUAGGGGUUGAAUCGGAGCUGUAGCCACCGGCCUACGCCAGAGCCACAGCAACGCGGGAUCCGAGCCACGUCUGCAACCUACACCACAGCUCACGGCAACACCAGAUCGUUAACCCACUGAGCAAGGCCAGGGAUCGAACCCGCCACCUCAUGGUUCCUAGUCGGAUUCGUUAACCACUGCGCCACGACGGGAACUCCUCUUUUUCUUUUUUUAUAUAAUGAUUUUUAUUUUUUCAUUAUAGCUGCUUUAUAGUGUUCUGUCAAUUUUCUACUGUACAGCAUGGUGACCCAGUUAUACAUACAUACAUAUAGAUUCUUACUUCUUCUAUUUAUUUAUUUAUUUAUUUAUUUAUUUAUUUAUUUAUUUUGUUUUUUUGCUAUUUCUUUGGGCUGCUCCCACGGCAUAUGGAGCUUCCCA
RNAcentral lists this long non-coding RNA (2262 nucleotides) under Sus scrofa (pig). Its description in RNAcentral is "lncRNA (ENSSSCG00060037937.1)". The record is from RNAcentral. Lineage: Eukaryota; Metazoa; Chordata; Mammalia; Artiodactyla; Suidae.